CCUACGGGUGGCAGCAGUGGGGAAUAUUGGGCAAUGGGCGCAAGCCUGACCCAGCAACGCCGCGUGAAGGAAGAAGGCUUUCGGGUUGUAAACUUCUUUUCUCAGGGACGAAGCAAGUGACGGUACCUGAGGAAUAAGCCACGGCUAACUACGUGCCAGCAGCCGCUGUAAUACGGAGGUGGCAAGCGUUAUCCGGAUUGACUGGGUGUACAGGGAGUGUAGGCGGGAAAGCAAGUCAGAAGUGAAAACCAUGGGCUAAACCUGUGGCCUGCAUUGGAAACUGUUUUGCUUGAGUACUGGAGAGGCAGACGGAAUUCCUAGUGUAGCGGUGAAAUGCGUAGAUAUUAGGAGGAACACCAGUGGCGAAGGCGGUCUGCUGGACAGCAACUGACGCUGAGGCGCGAAAGCGUGGGGAGCAAACAGGAUUAGAUACCCGAGUAGUC
RNAcentral lists this ribosomal RNA (443 nucleotides) under uncultured bacterium. Its description in RNAcentral is "partial 16S ribosomal RNA". It matches the Rfam family "Bacterial small subunit ribosomal RNA", at positions 338 to 795 of the family's 1533-position model. The record is from RNAcentral.